GCCUUAGUACGGCGAGUGAAGCGGCAACAGCUCAAAUUUGAAAGCUGGCCCUUUUAGGGUCCGCGUUGUAAUUUGUAGAGGAUGAUUCGGCGAGGGCUCCUGCCUAAGUCCCCUGGAACGGGGCGUCAUAGAGGGUGAGAAUCCCGUAUGCGGUAGGUUGCCUUAGCCAUGUGAAUCUCCUUCGACGAGUCGAGUUGUUUGGGAAUGCAGCUCUAAAUGGGAGGUAAAUUUCUUCUAAAGCUAAAUACUGGCCAGAGACCGAUAGCGCACAAGUAGAGUGAUCGAAAGAUGAAAAGCACUUUGGAAAGAGAGUUAAAAAGUACGUGAAAUUGUUGAAAGGGAAGCGCUUGCAACCAGACUUGUCCGCAGUUGCUCAGCCGGUCUCCUGACCGGCGUACUCUUCUGCGGCCAGGCCAGCAUCAGUUCGGGCGGUCGGAUAAAGGCCUCGGGAAUGUAGCUCCUCUCGGGGAGUGUUAUAGCCCGGGGUGGAAUGCGACCAGCCUGGACUGAGGAUCUCGCUUCGGCAAGGAUGCUGGCGUAAUGGUUGUAAACGGCCCGUCUUG
RNAcentral lists this ribosomal RNA (563 nucleotides) under Lasiodiplodia sp. Its description in RNAcentral is "LSU rRNA". It matches the Rfam family "Eukaryotic large subunit ribosomal RNA", at positions 77 to 656 of the family's 3401-position model. The record is from RNAcentral. Lineage: Eukaryota; Fungi; Ascomycota; Dothideomycetes; Botryosphaeriales; Botryosphaeriaceae.